AGCUCCAAAACAAUGGAUUUGAAAAUGUUUGAACUUAUCAAUGCGUUUUCUAAUUCGUCUGGUUUUUCACCUUUCUGUAUUUGUCAUAUAGAAAGCUCGGACCCAAAUUUGGCUAUUUGAACAGAAAGAUCUGGGCACAGAAGAAAUAUGAAUGUUUUUUCAAGAGUUCUGGGUGUUCUCUUUGUGCUUAUGGACUCUUAUGUUGAUCUGGAGUACAAAAAAUACAGAGAUAGAUCGAUCAUCAAUACUUGGAGAUGCAAUCUAUUAUCUCAACCAAUUUUUACAAAGGAUCAAUGAUCUUCACAAAUCACAACGAACUUGAGUUAACUCCACCUGGAUCUUUGCCUCCAACUUCAACAAGCUUCCUACACCUCAUACUCUUUCUUGCCGUGUUGAGGAAGAGUUAUGUCCCUCUUAGCCAAGCCCUAAAGUCCAGCAAGAAAGAGUAAGGCGUCAACAAAUCUUCAUGGUUGUUAGUGUUUUAUAGGUUAAAAGCAUUUACUCUGUGUUUCUUUUAUCCACAGGUUGAGGCUAGACUAAGAGAAGGCAGAGCAGUGAACAUGCGCAUGAUUUGUUGUCGCAAGGAAAAUGCGACAAGUACAGUACUUGCCUUUGGAGAUUGAUAACCGAGCUUAGAUGCUACUAAACCGAACCAAGACGCUAUACCCAAAAUAUCCGACCAGAAGAGGAAUCUGGCUUAGUAGGUGUUCAAUCAGUUUCUCGAAGAUAGCCAUGACGAGGAACAUUGAGAUGAGAAUGUCUGUAACUACGAAACCAGAGGAAACGGCGUUAACUGAGUCAUCAAAUCGAGAUUUGCAUGGUUCUUCUCGCCAGUUGUACACCAGAGCUCCAAUGGGAGGCCAUGGAUGGUUCUUCUGGCCUUAGUGUUGUUAGUUCGUUAAGGUGAAAUAGAGAGAGAAGUUAGAUGAAAAAGGAGAAGAGAGUGAGCAAUAUGUGAUAAUGUGAAAAUUUUGGGAUUUUGUUAGAAAUUAAAGAAUUGUAACUUUUUGGGGACACGUUGUCCUCUUACUCUGCUUUUUUGAGAUUUGCAAAGAAAAUAGUGAUGUUUGCUAUUCUAAAUUAAUUAAAUUAAUGAAAAGGAGGAUUA
Molecule: long non-coding RNA, 1108 nt
Organism: Brassica rapa (field mustard)
Lineage: Eukaryota; Viridiplantae; Streptophyta; Magnoliopsida; Brassicales; Brassicaceae
Source: RefSeq, a predicted model, not a curated record